CACGUAGGGGGCGAGCGUUGUCCGGAAUUAUUGGGCGUAAAGAGCUCGUAGGCGGUUUGUCGCGUCUGCUGUGAAAACCCGAGGCUCAACCUCGGGCCUGCAGUGGGUACGGGCAGACUAGAGUGCGGUAGGGGAGAUUGGAAUUCCUGGUGUAGCGGUGGAAUGCGCAGAUAUCAGGAGGAACACCGAUGGCGAAGGCAGAUCUCUGGGCCGUAACUGACGCUGAGGAGUGAAAGCAUGGGGAGCGAACAGG
RNAcentral lists this ribosomal RNA (253 nucleotides) under uncultured bacterium. RNAcentral's name for it is "partial 16S ribosomal RNA". It matches the Rfam family "Bacterial small subunit ribosomal RNA", at positions 524 to 776 of the family's 1533-position model. The record is from RNAcentral.